GAUGAACGCUGGCGGCGUGCCUAAUACAUGCAAGUCGAGCGAACGGACGAGAAGCUUGCUUCUCUGAUGUUAGCGGCGGACGGGUGAGUAACACGUGGAUAACCUACCUAUAAGACUGGGAUAACUUCGGGAAACCGUAGCUAAUACCGGAUAAUAUUUUGAACCGCAUGGUUCAAAAGUGAAAGACGGUCUUGCUGUCACUUAUAGAUGGAUCCGCGCUGCAUUAGCUAGUUGGUAAGGUAACGGCUUACCAAGGCAACGAUGCAUAGCCGACCUGAGAGGGUGAUCGGCCACACUGGAACUGAGACACGGUCCAGACUCCUACGGGAGGCAGCAGUGGGGAAUCUUACGCAAUGGGCGAAAGCCUGACGGAGCAACGCCGCGUGAGUGAUGAAGGUCUUCGGAUCGUAAAACUCUGUUAUUAGGGUAGAACAUAUGUGUAAGUAACUGUGCACAUCUUGACUGUACCUAAUCAGAAAGCCACGGCUAACUACGUG
RNAcentral lists this ribosomal RNA (497 nucleotides) under uncultured bacterium. RNAcentral describes it as "partial 16S ribosomal RNA". It matches the Rfam family "Bacterial small subunit ribosomal RNA", at positions 28 to 507 of the family's 1533-position model. The record is from RNAcentral.